GGAAUGUAACAGCGUUGCGUGUAAGCUUCAUUUGAGGUCUCGCCGCCUUGGCGGACGACCGUUUCGCGCGCCCGAACGAGGUCGGCUUUUGCUUUUUGCUUANGCCUUCCUGCCAUUAGGGUUGUUAUUACAAUCGCGCGUAGGUNGUGCCGCUCUGGCCUCGACGAGAUUGAAUGCUGAUCGCUAGCGGGGACUGUGCGUGCUCUUACUAGAACCCCGUCCGUCGGGCGAAAGGGAAUCCGGUUCCUAUUCCGGAACCCGGUUGCGGAACCGCUCUCUCGAUCCUCGUAUUGACACGGUAACGUGAAUGACCCCAGAGAUGCCGUCUGGAGCCCCGGGAAGAGUUCUCUUUUCUGCAUAAGCGCUCGGGUUCCAUGGAAUCCUCUCGUAGGGAGAUAUGGAAUGGAGCGCGAAGAGCACCGCAGUUGCUGCGGUGUCCGGGGAGUCCCGUCGGCCCUUGAAAAUCUGGGUGAGGGUCACGUGGAGGCGCCGCACCGGCUCGUACCCAUAUCCGCAGCAGGUCUCCGAGGUCAAGAGCCUCUAGUCGAUAGAC
RNAcentral lists this ribosomal RNA (553 nucleotides) under Elassoneuria sp. EP167. RNAcentral describes it as "eukaryotic LSU rRNA". It matches the Rfam family "Eukaryotic large subunit ribosomal RNA", at positions 1568 to 1895 of the family's 3401-position model. Lineage: Eukaryota; Metazoa; Arthropoda; Insecta; Ephemeroptera; Oligoneuriidae. The record is from RNAcentral.